AAUAUUUGAAGUGACGUAAUUAUUGCUUUGUACGUGACUUUUGUGUUGAAUUAUUAGCUUAGAGUGGGUUGUAUGAGAUGUAUGACAGACGCAAAACAGGGGAAGGUUGAAAGAGCAGCACCACACCUACUGGCAAACUACCCAGCCGUUGUUUGCGUCACCCCACCACGAGUACUGGAUAGCAGUUCGACCGCUCGUUCCAACCUGCUGUGCUUUAUCGCUUUAUCUACUCUUUCAAAAUCAAUACUGUACUGACACAGAAAGCAAUAAUUGUAUAUACCGUGAAGUCCUACAACAUUUCUGCAACCAUUUAUACCUGAAAGACUAUUCAGUGUUACUAAGGAUUCGGAGCUGCUUCGAAAUACAGCUUGAACAUCCCGCUCAUCCUCCCAGACCGCAGUACUGCCGCGUUAGCUUUGAUGUGAAGGCGUGUGACAGUUUAUGCGAUUUGCCUCACUUGUUUACGACGUACCUUAUAAGGGAUGAGGUGGUGAGUGCUACCCAAGACCCACGUGCAGCCUGUCACUCACGCCCCAGCAGGUAUGAUGAGUAGUUAGUGAGUGCAUCCCCUUGUGCUUGAGUGCGUGAUGAAGGAAGGAGCAGUUUGAGACUCAUGGUUGGUCAAGACGUGGCGUGUGCUGCCAAAUCCUCACCUGCAGCCUAUCACUCACCCCACGCUGAUGUGGUGACUGAUGUAAAAUUCUCGUAUGGCAUGAAAAACUAGCGUCUCAAAACAAGCGAGGCAGUGGAGCAGAGAAACCAGACUCUUUUGUGCUCUGAAGGGGCCGCAGAAUUCCUAGAUCUCCCAAAGCAGAACGGAAGGUCUCCCCGCCAAGUGCUGUGCCACUGCAUUGCUCCCAGACGCUGCUCCGUGAUAAGGCCUCGGCGCUCACGUGACUCUGCCUCGUAGCUUUUAAUUGUAACAAAUUGCCUCCAUGAACGAUGAUGCACACGGGAACUGGCUGGAGGGAGGCGCGGAGAGUCCAGGCGGGGGAUUCUUACCGUCUCGUUAUGCGACCCGGGAAGAGAUGUAGGACAGGAAACGAAGAAACAAGGACACAAGGAGACAAGGGAAGAUGCAAGAAGCCACCAGGCCCUCACGUGGCAUUCUUUGCAUUGAAGCUAGAAAUAGAACGGCACAGUGGGCGUAGCGGAAGUGGGUUUACGCCAGGAGGUCCAUUGGGUAAUUUAAGGUUUAGUGCGUGACCAUGACCACCGCAAGCGAGGAUAAUCCAGAGAGAGAGAGAGAGAGAGAGAGAGAGAGAGAGAGAGAGAGAGAGAGAGAGAGAGAGAGAGAGAGAGAGAGAGAGAGAGAGAGAGUUUCUCACUUUGGGAAAUCCAGUGGUGAUGAAGACAAGGGCAAAGAGACAGAAGUUUAUUAUUCCUGAUUCAAUUUACAGAUUCUUCAGAGGAAAGCGGACACGGAUAAACUUGACAGGAAUAAACUUCUAUUCCUAUAUCCCUGUUUUCAUCAGCACUGGGUUAUACUUUUCCUAAAAAGUCUCGAACGUCUCUUGUUAAUGUAAGAUUGAGUGGCCAAAGACAACAAAAAGGAAAGGAAAAAGGCCAUUUAAGUUGAGAGUCACUAAAGAAAAAAGAGCCAAAAGGAUUACUCAAAAUCGAAGAAGUGUCUUGCUUACUAAAUGUGCUGCACUGCGGUGUAUGUGUGCCUGAGUUACAUGUAGAGGGAGUGUCACAUUGGUCAGAGUUAGAAGUAAAUGUGGCGCCACUAACCCGUGAUUAAAACCAUUGCCGUGUACAGGAAUAAGCGAGCACGAGAAGACCAUGAAAGGACAAUUUACGGAGUAGUUAAAAUUCUUGACAAAACAGCGGUCGCGUAGUAGCACGUCCGUUACUUGAAGUUAUUGGCUACUUUGCUUAAAAAAAAAAAAAAAUCGGCAAAAAAAAGUACACUGUUGAAUUAUAUAAAACAGUUGUUGAAGUAAAGUAAAUCUGUUUAGAAAAUAGGUAAAUAGUUAAAUAUUUAUAAAACAUUAAUAUCAUAGUAACACGUGUAUUACUGCAAGUUAUUGAGCACUUUUUAAAUAUUCAGCAAACACAAGGUACGCGGUUGUAUCAUAAAAAAAAAAAGUUGUUCAAAUGAAGUGUACUCUGCCAUCUAGUAAUUAGUAAAUGUCUUGACAAAACGGAGGUACCACAGUGGUAAGUCCGUUAUUCUAAGUUAUAAGGUACUUUACUUAAGGCUAUUCAACAAGGUACGGAGUUGAAUAAUAUAGAACAGUUGGAAACUACACAAGACUAUACUCGGUCCUGCAGUCCUUGACAUGCUCGCUAGGAAGGGCUACAAUAAAACCGGGAAAUGGUUACUGGAAAAUUAGGUGAGCGGGUGGAAAUAACUGUCAUCCUCAUUCAAUACAUCUGGAAACUACACAAGGUCCUACUCGGCCCUCCUGUCAUCACCAUACCCACUAGGGAAGGUUACAUCAAAGUAGAGAAAGGGACACUAGAAAAGUAGGUGUGCGAGUGAAAAUAACUCAAACAGGUGAAGUCGUAAGGCCGUGACGCAGGUGACGCCAAAAUUACCAACGUGUCCGUGUGCCACAUGUAAGAGUCCGUAGCGUGUCGUCAGUGUCCCGUAACCUAGGCACUGAGGUCGGGGAGGCAGGGAGCAGGAGGGGGAAGGACCGGCCCUCAGUGGCGGCCCCGCGGCGACUCUCUCCCGGCCAUCCCAGCGCACCCUUGUUUUCAAAAGCGCUAUUAAUUAAGUGCACGUGUACUCCGCCUUCUUUUUAAUGGAACUUUUGAUUUUUUUUCUUGUUUUGUGAGAGAAUGUGUGACAACUUGGCCGCCAGUCGAGUGUUUCCGUGGCACUCUUGGAUUAGUUGUUCUUUUUUAUUAAUGUAUACUUCGUUUAUUUAGUAUUGUAUUAAAAUCUUGAGUUGUGAUAUUCUCCUUGUUUUGUGAAGGGAUUCAUCUCAACUAGGCCGCUUGUUGAGUGUUUCUGUAGCUCUCAUGGAUUAGAUUAAUAGUUCUUGCCUCUCUUCUUAUCUUUAUGGUAAACUUCGUUUAUCAAAUAUUAUAUAAAAUCAUGAUAAUCAUUAUUUUUUUUACUUAUUUUGUAAUCUAAUCGGAUCUUGGGUUAGUAGUGUUUUUUUCUAUC
Scylla paramamosain (green mud crab) is the source of this 3121-nucleotide RNA transcript. RefSeq lists it as uncharacterized. The transcript has 5 exons. The record is from RefSeq and is a predicted model, not a curated record. Lineage: Eukaryota; Metazoa; Arthropoda; Malacostraca; Decapoda; Portunidae.